CGAGCAGGCUGAGCAGCUGCGGACACAGUCCGAAAGGACGUGCCCGAGGAAAGUCCGAGCUCCACAGGGCAGAAUAACGGCUAACGGCCGCCGGGGGCGACCCCAGGGAAAGUGCAACAGAGAUAUACCGCCGGUAAACGGUAAGGGUGGAAAGGCGAGGUAAGAGCUCACCAGCGCGCGGGAGACCGCGCGGCUCUGCAAACCCUAUUCGGAGCAACACCGCAGAGGGACUUCAUGCGCCGGCCCGGCGCGUCCCGAGAAGGUGGCACUGAGCCGCGAUGGCAACAUCCGGCCAAGAUAGAUGGCUGUUCACGACAGAACUCGGCUUACAGGCCUGGUCGCAUC
Molecule: RNase P RNA, 345 nt
Filed under: Clostridium sp. KNHs216
Lineage: Bacteria; Bacillati; Bacillota; Clostridia; Eubacteriales; Clostridiaceae
Also listed under: 1 other name
Description: Bacterial RNase P class A
Rfam family: Bacterial RNase P class A
About the family: Ribonuclease P (RNase P) is a ubiquitous endoribonuclease, found in archaea, bacteria and eukarya as well as chloroplasts and mitochondria.
Source: Rfam by way of RNAcentral